UUGCUGGCAAACUUAAUUUUAUUUCAAUAUAACAUAUUUGUUAAAGUAGAAUAUAGAUUUCAUUUUUGAAAGACAAUGUCAAAUACAUUUUUUCUGGAGAAAAAGACCAUUCCACCAUCUCAAAUAUACUCAGUAUAUACCACCAUCUCAGUAGUAUACUGCAGGAAGGGCAUGGACGAUUAUUAUAUUAAUUUAGUUCCUACAUUCAUUGUUUGCUUGCUGUGAUUAUACAGAAUCCUUUAUAAGACGUAAAGAUGUGAUUUCCUCAGUCCUAGAAGGCUGUCCAGAAGUAUCUUUGGCAAGAUACAUGACAUGAGCUGCUUUGAAAAAGGAGUUGCUUUUUCUUUCCAGAGAUUUUUCACAUCAACAAAUCAGCCCCUCUCAUCUCAGGUUAAGCUAUCUCAGCAUAAUCACUGAUACCACAGGGUUUGCAGGAAGCAAAAAGGAGCACUGUGAAGGUUUCAGGUCAAAUAUUAAUCUACCUGACAGGAGCAUGUCUGGAAAGUUUCAUCUUCAACAUUCCAGUGAUGCCUAAAUCCUUCCCACCUGCUGGAAUGACAUUGAUUUCCAAAUUAUAAGGAAAGCUCCAGAACCAUUUAUGCAUGAGGCCCAAGCUCUUUCAUCUUCAUUGAUUAGGAGACACCAGCUCAUAUUUGAUACACUUAUAAACCCAUAUAUUACUAAAAGGUCAGUUGAGCAGAUAUGUCAGCUGAGUUGUGUGCAAAGGCAGUUGAUUUUACCCUUAAAUUAAGGAUAGAAUCAAUUGUGGAAAUAAUUUUGUACUCUGUGAUCACACUGAAUUUAUCCAAGAUUUUUUGUUAAACAUUGGCUCCAGUAGAACUGUUUCCCAGUAUUCUAAAACAAUCUUUAAGGCAUUGCUCUGGAGGAAAUUGUGGGACUCUUCAGAAUACAAAUUUGAGAGAACCCAGACUGUUUAGAAAACUGAGAUAUCUUAAAAGUGUACAGUAAGAAUUUUCAGCACUAGCUUAAAAUAUAAACUGGAGACAUUUAUGCCUGAAGUAGUCAUUCUCUUUGAGCUUGUCAUUACAGGAGUGUGAGGGCAAGACUCAUCUGGUCUAGUUUAUGCUGAAAUUAAAUGCAUUAAGUGUGCUAAUUUUUUUCUCCAGUAACUAUGAAGGGAGUGAGGAUGACUAGAUGACACAUAAAUGUCUAUAUCCUAGGUAACUAAAACUAGUUGCUAUGUCUCCCACACUACAGAUCUGAAAGAAUUACCCUUGCACUCAAGCAACAAAAAGAACCCAAUUUUCAGGUUAUUUCUAAAAUGAGGGGGAAAAUCAUAUGUACACAUAGUACUUGAAACUACAAUAGGAGAACAGUUGGAAGAAUUGAAUGUGAACAAAGCUGGACAGACAGAGAAACAAGCAUUGGUUAAAAAUUUGGGAUUAAAUGAGAUUUGUAGCAAAAUUCCUCCAGGCCCUAGUCUGUGCCUGAUUUUAUUCAUUUUUUGGUAAAAAUAAUUUGUGCGCAUGAUUAAGAGACUAACAGGCCCUCUCUAUGAAAAUCACACUGCACUGCAUGUGGUUCUUCAUGACACAGCAAGGGAGGAAAUCUGUGUCGCAUGGGCCAACGCAGUUAUCUAAGGCACUUCCAUCCUGAGAACAGGAGUAAAGUCCAGUUGUACUUUGAUGAUCCCUGUGGAUCCCUUCCAGCUCCAGAUAUUCUGAGUUAAUGUCCAUCCAUCACCACUGUCAUUUCUAUUAGUCACCUCAGAAGGCCCAGAGAAGAACAAGUAGGGGAUGCAAUUUUAUCAUCAAAAGUUACAUUCUAAAUAAAAUUUUCUAGAAAAUAAUUUUUCAUCAUCUUGAAAUAGCAGAAGGAAAGAAAGACCUGAAUAUCCUUAUUCUGUCAAAUAGUGUCAUGUGACUCUAAGUAGGCAAAAAUAAUCCUGGAAUGCUUCAGGCAAAGUGAUAGAAAUAGAGACGUGUUGAUGUCAUUAUAUAAGGUGCUAGAAAAUUCUCCUCUGAAAUACUGGAUCCAGUCCAUGUUCAAAGACUGAAUUUAAACUAGAACAAACUUGGAGAAUAACCUCUCUACAGAUCUGUAAAAUAAAAAUGGAGGUAAUAUAUAUGAAAUAUCAUAAAUAUCUGUAAGCAAACAUGGUGCAAACCACCAGAGAGAAAAAAAAAGAGCUAUUAAGUUAAUAGAUACUGUUGGCACAGUAGCAAAAUGGUGUGAAGCAGUAAUGAACACUUUUAAACUGCAAGUUAGGAGAUUUCUAAUACCAGGAACAGCUUUCAACCAGAAGCAGGAGGGUGAGAAAUCUUAGCCAAUUUUAUAAUGAGUCUUGCGGAAUUUAUAAACAGGUUUCAGUUGCCUAUAACAACAGGGAGCAGGGCUUUAUGACCCACUAAGUUUUUCUGGUCUUAUGCUGAAAGAUGCAGAAAGCACUGGUCAAAGAGAUUCUGCUUGUUCAUUUAAAUGGGAAAUUUUCACAUAAGUUUUAUAGGUAUAAACACUGGUUACGUGUUUACUUUCAUGGUAUUAAAUGAAUGCACUCUUUGGUGACUUAUUUUGAGAAUCUCUUAUUAUACUUUAGCAUUAUUUUUAGUUAUACAAGUAAAAUUAGUUGUUUUCAUUUAUAGUUGGGCUAUAAGUGGCUUGGGUGUUAGGUGUGCUUCUUAUUAUUCAUAUAUGUAUUUAUAAUAAGACAAAAGAGAAAGGAGAGAUGCUUAGGUUGUUUUUUUUGGGUUGGUUUUUUUUUUGCUUACCCUUUGGCUUUUCCUAUGUUGCUAUUUGUUGAAAUACAGUUUUAUUCACUGCAUGAUAAUGUUCCACAUUUGUUCCUGAAAAAAGUAGAAU
Passer domesticus (house sparrow) is the source of this 2820-nucleotide long non-coding RNA. RefSeq lists it as uncharacterized. The transcript is spliced from 3 exons. The record is from RefSeq and is a predicted model, not a curated record. NCBI's taxonomy places the organism in Eukaryota, Metazoa, Chordata, Aves, Passeriformes, Passeridae.